This 452-nucleotide ribosomal RNA is filed under the name uncultured bacterium. RNAcentral's name for it is "partial 16S ribosomal RNA". It matches the Rfam family "Bacterial small subunit ribosomal RNA", at positions 329 to 794 of the family's 1533-position model. The record is from RNAcentral.
UGCCAGACUCCUACGGGAGGCAGCAGUGGGGAAUAUUGGGCAAUGGGCGCAAGCCUGACCCAGCAACGCCGCGUGAAGGAAGAAGGCUUUCGGGUUGUAAACUUCUUUUCUCAGGGACGAAGAAAGUGACGGUACCCGAGGAAUAAGCCACGGCUAACUACGUGCCAGCAGCCGCGGUAAUACGUAGGUGGCAAGCGUUAUCCGGAUUUACUGGGUGUAAAGGGCGUGUAGGCGGGACUGCAAGUCAGAUGUGAAAACCGUGGGCUCAACCUGUGGCCUGCAUUUGAAACUGUCGUUCUUGAGUACUGGAGAGGCAGACGGAAUUCCUAGUGUAGCGGUGAAAUGCGUAGAUAUUAGGAGGAACACCAGUGGCGAAGGCGGUCUGCUGGACAGCAACUGACGCUGAGGCGCGAAAGCGUGGGGAGCAAACAGGAUUAGAUACCCCCGUACAA